GUGCAAUUAAGAUGUGGGUGUGAGUAUUACAUCAGGUACUGGUGUAAUAACAAAACUACCAGUACUUGUGUUAUACUUGCGCUCAUGUCUGUUCAGCGUACCAAUCUGCCAAC
RNAcentral lists this microRNA precursor (113 nucleotides) under Polistes canadensis. RNAcentral describes it as "microRNA pca-mir-12 precursor". Its record names the gene pca-mir-12. The stretch from base 15 to 85 matches the Rfam family "mir-12 microRNA precursor family". The record is from miRBase by way of RNAcentral. Lineage: Eukaryota; Metazoa; Arthropoda; Insecta; Hymenoptera; Vespidae.